GGAGCUUGCUUUAUAUAACUUAGCAGCGAACGGGUGAGUAACACGUAGAUAAUCUAUCCUAUACUGGGGGAUAGCCCGAUGAAAGUUGGAUUAAUACCGCAUAUAGCUAUAUAGUUGCAUGAUUAUGUAGUGAAAGAUUUAUUGGUAUAGGAGGAGUCUGCGGCACAUUAGCUAGUAGGUGAGGUAAAGGCUUACCUAGGCGACGAUGUGUAGCCGGUCUGAGAGGAUGAACGGCCACAAUGAAACUGAGACACGGUCCAUACUCCUACGGGAGGCAGCAGUGGGGAAUAUUGCACAAUGGGGGAAACCCUGAUGCAGCAACGCCGCGUGAGUGAAGAAGGUUUUCGGAUUGUAAAGCUCUGUUAGCAGGGAAGAGGAAGGACGGUACCUGCAGAGGAAGCCACGGCUAACUACGUGCCAGCAGCCGCGGUAAUACGUAGGUGGCAAGCGUUGUUCGGAAUAACUGGGCGUAAAGGAUGCGUAGGCGGUUAAACAAGUUAUAUGUUAAAUAUAUAGGCUUAACCUGUAGAAAGCAUAUAAAACUGUUUAACUAGAGUGCAGGAGAGGUAAGUGGAAUUCCUAGUGUAGCGGUGAAAUGCGUAGAGAUUAGGAAGAACACCAGUGGCGAAGGCGACUUACUGGACUGUAACUGACGCUGAGGCAUGAGAGCAUGGGGAGCAAACAGGAUUAGAUACCCUGGUAGUCCAUGCUGUAAACGAUGGGUACUAGGUGUGGGUUGUGAAUAACAAUUC
RNAcentral lists this ribosomal RNA (752 nucleotides) under uncultured bacterium. RNAcentral describes it as "bacterial SSU rRNA". It matches the Rfam family "Bacterial small subunit ribosomal RNA", at positions 75 to 842 of the family's 1533-position model. The record is from RNAcentral.